Long non-coding RNA from Oryza sativa Japonica Group (Japanese rice), 174 nucleotides. RefSeq lists it as uncharacterized. The record is from RefSeq and is a predicted model, not a curated record. Lineage: Eukaryota; Viridiplantae; Streptophyta; Magnoliopsida; Poales; Poaceae.
GAGCUCCUCCUUCCUCGGUCGCCGGUCAAGGGCGACCCCGUCCGCCCUCCGUCCUCGCAAGCCGCCAUUGGGCAAUCGUCGUCGCCGUCCUCUUCCUCCGCGUCGGCCGCCGCUUCCGCGUGUAGUUUCCGUCGUUUCGGAAGUCCGCGGUCGCGAGGAAAAGAGUUCGGAAGA